CUCAUGAGCUGGAAUGCAGGCUCCUGGACAAGAGAUGAGGGCAAUGUUGAAGGUUGAAGGUACUUGUGAUAUAUCCAUGAACUGUGUCUACACUUAAAUUAUAGAAAACGUGUUAUUGUUAAUUAAAUCUGAAAGAGGAACUCCAAAAAAUCAUCAACUAUGAAAGGUAAGCAAGCAAUAUCCAGGUGCGGCAAUUGCUAGAGUAUUAUAUCCCAUAGAUGUGUGUCAUCUGAGGUUAGGAGUCAUGCUUGUAAAUCACCAAAUCCAACCAUUUCUAGCUGAAUAAUAAGAGCUUUGUUUAUUGGAAGCCAAAGUACAAAAUGAAAUGUUACUACUCUGGAAAGCUGGCAUUAGCUAGUGCCACAGUAUAAAUCUCCCUUUCUUUUGCUUCUAUAAAUUACCAGGAGAGCUAAAUUCUCAUGACAGCACGGUCAGAGUCCAAUCUGGUGCCAUCAGACCUUUCUCAACGCAGUUCUUCAGUCUCACCUUAAAGAUGCAAUUCCUGCAGAGAUGUCACUGAGCAAAAAUGCGAUAUGCAGAGACCUCUAGAGACUGGAAAGCUAAACUACACUUAAUGACAUGCAGAUACAGUUCAGCAGUGCGUAGUAAUGAGAUCAUUGGCAGAUACAGAGCAGACUAUGAAGAGAAUAAGAAAGCUUCAAGAGAUGAAAGAAUGACAUCAACGUAAUUAUCACUCUCUCUUUUCAAGGAGCUGCUUAUCCACCAGGAUUAAACAGGAAGAAGAUAGAUGAGAAUGGAAAACACAGUGAAAACAGCAUGCUGAGAUUUUGUUUUUUCCAAAGCAAGUAGAAGCAGCUGGUUGUUUGUCUGCUGAGACAGAACCUAUGGAACUUAUGGGAGAAGAGAAAUGUCAAUAAAAUCAGUCACUUCUUGAAGACCCAGGUUGAUAUUUUCUUUUGCAAAAUAAGGACUCUAGAGGCUCUCAGAGACUGUUUCUUACCAUCAAGCAUUUCCUUUUUCCUUAGCUCCUGUCCCACUGGAAAGAAAAAAUUCAAUUUAAUUUCCUUCUAUCAGAUAGAACACUUGGAAAGACACUCAAGCAUUUACUAAUUUAUUCUUGACUACGUUAGUUUUAAUCCUAAAAGCUCCUAACUGAAAUUCUUCUAGAGAAUGUAUUAUUAUAACAAUACCUUAACAUACCUGAUGCAUAAUAUGCCAAACAUCACAUACCUGCAAAAUGCCAAUACUCUUGUUUUGAAAACAAAUGAGAACAUAGUUGGCCUGUUAGAGAAUGCUUAUCUCCAAGCAAUUUUCCUUAGUUAUCUUCGAAUUCUCAUCUUUCCGAUGUCUCAUGGUGUGCUACUUCUCUUUUAUUUUGUAUAGUUGACUUCUAAAAGUCAAAUCACCUCUACGGCCACAGCUGACAAUACACAAACUUCUUGUUUCUGGAGAUCCUCAGCUGCCGUGUGAUUGUUUCAUUUUAAUACGAGAUAUGAGACAUAAAAUUAAGCAAACAAAAUCUCAUUUAAAAGAAAACUAGGAAGAAUAAAAAUGAAAUCGAUCAUACAUUAUUUAUUUAAUGGUAAUAAGCAUUAGGUAAUAACCUAUUAUUUAGGAACACGUUCCUUUUUUAUUUUCUAUAGCCUUUUAAUCAAUAAUGAAAACAUUUAUGGAAUAACUUGAAAAAUUAACUAAUAUUGAUUUGUUUCCAUACUCUACAGAACAUGAAUCUGAACUCUCUUCUGCUAUAUGAAUCAUUAAUCUCUUCCCUAAUUUUCCUUACAGAUAUUAGUAAAAAUAAUAAUAAUAAUAAAAAUAACAGUACUGUAUUAUCUUGCAGUUGAAUAUUUUUGUAUUCUAGUGUUCCAAUAUCCUAUUAAUUCAUACAGGAGAUCCAUAAAAAGAGAUAUGCACAGUAUGAUUACUAAUUAUAUAUUUUCUGUUAUCAUUACAUAUUUGGAAGCAGACAUGAUCAAAGUAUGUAAGAUGAUCCAUUGUUUUGGCACAGAAAUUUGGGGCUUGUAAAAGUAGAUUAUCAGAAUUGUCCAUUCUUCAUUCUCUCUACAAUCCAUUUUACUCUCUUUCACAGACAAUAAACAUUGUGUAUGUACCCCAUCAAACUCAAUGCUCUCUCCUUUCUUUUAAUGAAAUGUAGUCACAUUUAAACUAGCUUGAAGGUGGCCUACCUCUUGAUUGAAUCCAAGGCAAUUUAACUUUACAGAGUAAUUUCACACUUUCCAUUACCAGAACGUAAGUAGCUGUUAAGUCAAAAAGGUGGAUCAGAAAUCAUACCUUCCA
RNAcentral lists this long non-coding RNA (2259 nucleotides) under Gallus gallus (chicken). Lineage: Eukaryota; Metazoa; Chordata; Aves; Galliformes; Phasianidae. The record is from RNAcentral.